UUUUUUAAUUUUAAUAUUUGAAUUUUAUAAAUUAGUAAGAAAUCUAAUUUAAUAAAAAAAGACGAGAAGACCCUAUAGAAUUUUAUAAAUUUAAUUAAUUUAUUAUUAAAAUUUAAUUUAUUAUUUUAAAAUUUAUUUUAUUGGGGAGAUAUUUAAAUUUUUAAAACUUUGAAAUUUAAAUUCAUUUUAUAAAUGUAUUUUUGAUCUUUUUUUUAUUGAUUAAAAAAAUAAAUUACCUUAGGGAUAACAGCAUAAUAGUUUUAAUAAGUUCUUAUUAUUAAAAAAGAUUAUGACCUCGAUGUUGAAUUAAAAUUAUUAUUAUAUGAAGGGAUAUAAUAAAUAAGUCUGUUCGACUUUUAAAAUUUUACAUGAUUUGAGUUCAAAUCGGUGUGAG
RNAcentral lists this ribosomal RNA (394 nucleotides) under Asiodiplosis bimoda. RNAcentral describes it as "partial large subunit ribosomal RNA". The record is from RNAcentral. Lineage: Eukaryota; Metazoa; Arthropoda; Insecta; Diptera; Cecidomyiidae.